AUGUACACUGAAGCCGAAGCCAAAGAAGCCCGCGAAGACGGCGUCGACCUGCUCGAAGAAGCAUGUCUCCUAGCGCACAGCCGCUCAGCCAUCUACCAGCAAGGCCUGAGGCACUACCACAGCAAGAAGAUCAAGCCCCUCACUUUCCGGGAGGGAGACCUCGUCUUCCGACUCUUCCAAGUCCAGACCGGCCAACACAAGCUGUCCUCCCCAUCGGAGGGCCCCUUCAUCGUCAGCAAAGCCUUGUGCGAUUGCAACGCUUACUACCUCAUCGACGCCCGCAAGUCAAACAAGCGCAAGAGAGACACCGCCGGCGAAGAAACAACUCGGCCGUGGAACGCGAAACUCCUCCGCCCGUUUUACAGUUUGCCGUGUUUAUGUAUGUAUCGCUGCCUUUUGUAA
Molecule: ribosomal RNA, 402 nt
Filed under: Triticum aestivum (bread wheat)
Lineage: Eukaryota; Viridiplantae; Streptophyta; Magnoliopsida; Poales; Poaceae
Description: partial small subunit ribosomal RNA
Source: RNAcentral